Amphiprion ocellaris (clown anemonefish) is the source of this 826-nucleotide long non-coding RNA. NCBI's taxonomy places the organism in Eukaryota, Metazoa, Chordata, Actinopteri, Pomacentridae. The record is from Ensembl.
AGACUUACUUACUUUGUCUACUUUUCUUACUCCAUGUAGGUUUCCCAGAGACUAUGGGUUGAGGAGGAAGUGGAAGUUUGUCGGCUUAGACCUGUGUCAUUCCAUCAGUGUUAAACUUCCCGGCUCAUCUUGGAAGAGUACGUGCCAGAAAGACCACGACCAAGCAGCCUUGAGAUCUUAGGCAGCGUCUCCCUGAGACCAAAGAACUACAGACUCUUCACAACCUGCUCAAACUCUUGGUACAGGACCUCACCACACGGGUCAAGAAGGUUUCCGUCUCAUUUCUACUCUGAAGCUCACCUUCUCCUGCUCAAACUGCUGGCAAAUGUUUCUGCUGCUCUAAAGUCUGGUCUCCAGAACUUCCUAAAAACUCUCAAAGUCUCUUCUGCUGCAGGUUGCUUUGUAGAACUGUUCCAGAAAACCUCACUAAACCACAUGGAGGGGCCUCAAGAUAGUCGUCCAAACGAAACGGUACAAAAACCAAACUAGCACAACCCAAACGCUAAAGUCUCCUGCAGCCUACCAGAGAACCUCUGAGAACAGAGAAUCAGCACAGGAACUCUUACCUUCUGGACAACCAACGUUGCUUCACAAACAAGAAUACAGAAUGUGUCUGACCAAAAACCUCUAAAGACUCACUACAGCCAAGAUAAAGACACAACUCAGCUGUACCAAAUCCACUAAUCACUGCACACAUUAGCACCAUGUGCUAACUGUGGCUAAAGAACCACAUUUACCAAGACAACUAUCCAGUACAAAACCCUGAAACACACCAAGAAACACAUUAAAGACGAUUUUACUGCUGGAAGCUGCAAGCCAACGCCUA